GGGAGUGUAGCUCAGUGGUAGAGUGCUUGCCUAACAUUCAUGAGGCCCUGGGUUUGAUUCCAAGCACUGCAA
RNAcentral lists this transfer RNA (72 nucleotides) under Ictidomys tridecemlineatus (thirteen-lined ground squirrel). RNAcentral describes it as "Spermophilus tridecemlineatus (thirteen-lined ground squirrel) tRNA". It matches the Rfam family "tRNA". From Rfam's summary of the family: Transfer RNA (tRNA) molecules are approximately 80 nucleotides in length. Their secondary structure includes four short double-helical elements and three loops (D, anti-codon, and T loops). Lineage: Eukaryota; Metazoa; Chordata; Mammalia; Rodentia; Sciuridae. The record is from Rfam by way of RNAcentral. RNAcentral also lists the same sequence under 1 other name.